CUGGCGCGGAUUUUAGGGACUUCCUGGGAUGCGGAGAUCGGCUCUGAACCAUCCCCUUUCUGCUGCCCGGAGCUGGGGAAGCUCGCUGUGGAGCGUCUCGCACGUGGCAGGCAGGCAGAGAACUUGCUGCACCUUCUAGGAAAUUGCAAUCGAUUUGUAAUGCACUUUCGCUAAUUGGGAGUUCAAAAUUAAACUUUAAUAAAGCAUUCGUGUCGUCUCGUCUAAUUGUGAAAGCUUCCAUCCGUCCUGGUAGAUAGACUCUAAGUCUCAAGUUAAUGGCGCUAAGCUAGAUUUUCCCCCCAAGUACAAUUCCGUCAGCCGUCGUCGGCGCAGCUGGAUUUCCGUAAGGUACAGAUGUUGCUAAUGACAGCUUAAGCACGGAUGGGCAGAUAGCAUACGGAAUGCAACAUGUUGCCAUAUGGUUCCUUUAGCCUUUCACCUCCAGGGAUAUCAAUCACAUAUAUUCUGGGAGGAACUUAAUGACUCUCUGAACAGCAAAAUGAAUUACCUGGUACAAUUUAUAUCCCUUGACCUGAUACGUUAUAACAACAGGAAGAUAGCAUCUCGCAAUUUCUGUGGUAUAAAUUGAACUACAGAGCUACAUUUAAAAUUCUACAUCUAUUUGUAGUUUAAGGGGCCCUGUCAUAUUCUGGCUGUAAAAUCUGUUUCUGUAUUGCCCAUCUCCUUCCCCCUCCUACCUCUGGAGGAAGCAAAAUUUAUAAAGUUUAGCAAAACUGGUGUCGGAAAUUGCCAGUCAACUGAUUAAUAGAUGAAGUAUGGAGAAAUGGAAAAUAUGACUUCCAGAGCUACUUACUUCAACAAGAAUUAGCCAUCUUUAGGAACACCAUACUUUUAAGCGUACAAAAUUAAAGAACUCCAGAAAAUGUAUUUUCUGCUAGUUGUUUCAGUAUAGCUCCUAAAUCUAUUCAUUAACUAUUUGAAAUUCUCCAUUUAUUUUCAAACUUCAACCAUUCCUACACUUUGGAAAUUACAGAAGACAGUUCUCAGAAAUAUGAAAUACAGGAAAUGUAAGUAGCACCUCCUCAGCGAACCAGUUUCUGUACCCACAACCCCAUGCACUCACUAUUUAUGUAGCUUAAUUUGAAUCAUGUACAUGGUGGUACUGGUAGUUUGCUUUUUCCUCCCAACAUGUCAGUGACAGCAUACUUAAGUUGCUGCUUCUCUCCUAGUGGAGUGAUUCUGCAAUAUUUCACAGGUCUCAUUUUUAAAUAUCCUGGUGACUAAUAAAAUGUUUUAAUUGAUUGCCUUUAAUUUCAGAUUAUAAACGUGGUUGUCUUACUGUAUCCUUUAUUUUCUAUUCACUAAUACAGAUAGAUCACACGGGAAGACAAUACUUUAAGGGCAAAAAGUAAAAUAACUUACUAGAAUUUCUAAACUUUAUGUUUACUUUUACCUACUAAGGGAUAUCUGAAAGGUAGAGACAUACUUUUAAAACUUUUUGCUUCUGGCACUAUGUAAACAUUAAUUCAUGUAAACUAAUGACUAGCAGAAUGCCUAAGAUAGACAUGAACAGUCUGAAAAAGUAUUUACUUUCAGUCAUGUCAAGUUUCGGAAAGUGUUAACAUUUUGAAAGUUUGUCUAUAUAUCAUGUCCUUUCAUAAUUAUUGUGAAAUUAUAAGACGAUGCUUCUCCUUUUUUUUUUCCUUUGUAGUGGCUGAUUUGUUACCUAGUGCUUUAGUUCGAUAAUUUUGAUAAUUAUUAUCAAAUAAGAUCCUUUGUGUGUGUAUAUAGGAGAAAAUCUUAUACAGAACACAUUAAGAUAUACAUAAGUUAUGGCAAUCUUGUCUUCUGGGGCUGUUUUUUAAAUCUUUUAAUGGCUGAGGUUUUAUUUCUCUUUGUAGCACCAGCACUCGAUGUGUCUUAAAUGUGAUCAGUAGUGAUGGUGAGCUUGUCAAUAAUGACUCCAUCUCCAUGACUUGUGAAUAGGCGGUGAGUGUGUCCUUUAAUCAGUCACACAGAACUUGCUUUAUAAAGCUGUUAUUGUCAUGAACAGAUAUUGCAGUCUUGUCAGGCCCAGUGAUUAUUAAAGUGUUCCUUCUUCAAAAGCCAGGCCGAAAGUCCUGCUGUGCUUCAUUUCACAAUUGAAGUCCAUUAGUAAAUAAAAUCCCAAGCCGCACGAUUUGCUGUUCCUCAAGUUAUAGGCUUACAUAUAUUUCAUUAAUAAUCUUGGGCCCUUUUGUAGACAUAAGUAGGUAUAUUUUUGGUAUAUAUAUAUGGCAACAAAAAUAAAAUAUGUAUCUUGCAGCAUGACUUUUAUUUUAAAUGAAGAUUUGAUGGAUGUCCAUUGUUACUCUAAAUGAGGUGGCUGGCUGCCAAGGGAAACCCUACAGUCAGAAAGUACUAGAAUUGUUACUAUCUACAGGGAAUCACUUUCUAUUUUUUGAGUUCUCAACUUCACCUCCUCCUUUCAAUAGUGCCCCUCCAUAUUGCUAAUCUGAGAAUUAGUCUGAAUAUGAAAACUUUUGAAAAUAUGUUUGUGUUGUCCAAGAAAAAUUUCACCAGUGUUUCUGGUUGCCUGCUGGUUUUCAGCCUUUAUCUUGAGUGGGCAUGUUUAUUCUAACUGAAUGAAGAAUGACUAUUGAAUUAGGUAUAUUCCCCAUGCCAAAUAAUUUUAACUGUGAUGUAAUCCUAGCCGCUUUCUUAUUUUUACUCCCGAAUAAAUUUAAAAUAUUUAAGAUUGGCCAGGUGUCUGUUUUUCUCAGGGUAACAUGGGACAGCUAUGGAUAGGCAUUAGGCCUCUCAUAGAACUCUUCAUUCAAGUGAGUGUGGCUGAGAGGAACAACCAGGAAAGAGUAUAGUGCCCCAUUGCACUUGCCCUGUUGGCUUUUCAAAUGCAAAAUCCACGUUGUUGCAUUUGGAAACUUGUUUCUCUGUUUUAUGGUAUUUCAUUUAAGAAUUUUUUUUAACUGCCAGUCUGUAAAUAUUUAACCAGCCAAGCAGGAAACAGCCUUUUAUUCUCGACUGUAUACAGCUUUUGUUUUUAUCUGGGUUAGCAUGGGUGCCAUGUAAAUACCAUAUAAAAUUUGACUUUGGUUGUCCUUACUUUGAAGAUUGACAGGGGUUUCUUUAAUUAAUCUUGUUUCCUUUCAUGUUCUGUAUUGAGAUAUUGAAAUACAGUAUUUUAUACAUUUAUAGGAUUGUGUUUGCAUUUAUUUAAUUUAUGUUUCUUUUUUUGAAGCAUGUAGCCUUGAAUGUUUGUUCUACCCUUUUUUUUUUUUUCACAUCAUUACUCUGGUGCUGCUUGAUGUAACUUGAUUAGCUCCCUCCCCAGUCAUGAUUGGUAAUUAAAAUAGGCAUUAAAAUUAGUCACUUAGCAAUUUUGCUGUUCAAUUGGCAAUUAAAUUACUUAAUUGCAAUUAAAGUCCUAAUUUUAAUUGGCAAAAUGAUAGAUGUAGAUUUAAGAUAAUAUGUAUAAAUACUUUAAUAAGUGUCUAUAUAAGGAUUACUUAAUUACUCAACUUCAAGUUUAUGCUGUUAACUUUAGAACUUUUAAGUGAGCAAUGAAAUUUAUAUUACAUCUAUUCAAAGGAUAUGGUAAUUAGAUUUAUUACUUAUCACUAUAAGGGUCCUUGCUUUAAGUUACUUUUGUAGUGUUAAAAUUGUAGGCUUGAUAAUUGCAGAAUUCUGAUGAGAAAAAGGGCAUAUAUGUCUCUGUUGCAAUAUUAUCAAUACCUUCAUUUUUAAAAUUAAAUUGAGACAUUCCAUCCACCAAUUAGUCUGAGGAAAAAAUCAAAAGUGGUUAUUUUAUCAUUAAAGAUAGAACAAAAACUAGCCAGCUUGUGAUUUACAUAUAAAAACUUGCAAAAUGUAUGUAUUUUAUCUAAAUUUAAAUAAAUGCUAUCUAAUACUGGUAGUGUUAUAAUGCUAUUAACUACUUUUAGAAUUUGCAGAUAUUUGAUGUUUUCUUAGCAUGUAGCAACUUAUUUUCAUAAUCUUUAAACUGUCUUUUAGGACUUUGUACAUUUUAGUGAUGCCUAUGUUUACUAAAAUUAGCAAUGAAAUCUAAAACCAAAGUUAUUCUUCUUUGCCUAAUAAAAAAUAGUUCUUAAAUAAGAAAAUAUUAAGUGGUUAAUUUAAAAGCAAGUAUUUAGGAGAUGGUUACUGGGUGUCAAGUAUUAACAAAAAAUGAAGGAUUUUUAUUAUGCAAAAUACUUUUUGAGUGGCAUGAGGUUUUACCAUAUGUUCAGUUUUAUAAUUUCAAUUUACAAGAAGAUGCUUCCAGAAAAAAGAAUGCUGUUUUUUUUCUGCACAUCUUUACACAUUUCUAGUACUGAGUUCUGUAUCAAAGAAAGAAAUAAUUUUAAAAGUAUUUGUGUUAAGUGGUUUUUGGUAAAAAUCGGCUGAGAAAUACUGAAUAAAAGCUACAACUAUCCAAAAUGUGAAUAUUAACAAAGCAAUUGACUUGUUCUUUAACCAUCCUAUGAGAAAGGAACAAACAAUUUGGUCAAUUACUAUCCUGUCAAUGCAAAUGAAAUGGCAAAAGCAAAACAAUAAAAACACUUUCAGAAGUAAAAACUAAUUUUGUAUUUUCAGAAACAGAUUUUUUUCAAAGUGAAAAUUUAUUUCUUGUAUCAGUAAUGUGACUUACUGCCCAAUGGCAACAAAUGCUGUGAAUGAGUUUGUCCAAAUGUAAUUUAAAAUAUAUAUCUUGUAAUGCUAAAAAUAGGUUCUACAAAGUAAUUUUAUUAUGAAAAAUCUUAAAGUUGCCUCAACUCGUAAAGCAUAACAGGUAUGUCUGUUUCACUAUAUCUGCAUUGUAAGGUCUAUUCUGAAUUCAUUUGGGAAGAAUGGUGAAAUAAAUCCCUAAAGGCCUCUUUCCUAUGCAUUAAAAUAGAAAAUCCUAUGGGAUUACAUUCAUGUUUGCUUUCUAAAUUAUGCCAAAAGCUCAAUUUUAUUAAGUAUAAUCUGCCUAGCCAUGCAUAAAAUAAACUACUUUGGUUUAGAUGUGAGUAUAUGUAUUAUUUAUGUUGAUUUUUAAUGAAAAUAUGUUUACAUGUACCAAUAUGUUCUGCCUAAUAUUGGUUAAUGUCAUAAAAGAUAAUAUAGUAACAUUACUUUCCUAAAUGUU
This 5089-nucleotide long non-coding RNA is filed under the name Homo sapiens (human). RNAcentral's name for it is "non-protein coding lnc-ERMN-4:2". Lineage: Eukaryota; Metazoa; Chordata; Mammalia; Primates; Hominidae. The record is from RNAcentral.